UGUCUAUUGUUAAAUUUCCCAAGUGGGCUAUUAAAGCUAUCACAUCUCAGAUGGCACAUUUCCUAUGGAAGUAAUUUUGGAGAUAACCAUAAACACCAUCUGGCCAACUCGGGGCUUGUUUCUCAGAAAAAAGAUGUUGGUGGUCCAAAUAUCCCUAAUUUGAGAGAAGUUAAUAUGUCUCUGCUUGCUUCCUGGGCUAGGAGAUAUUUAUCUAGCAAGGAAAAAAACUGGGUGGCCUUUGUAGAUUAUAAGUAUCAAACUGGGAAACCUAAUCUGCUUUGGUGUAAAGAGGGGGUGGGAUCUCCUUUCUGGAAAGGUUUUACACGGGCUUUAGCUGGGGUUAGGCCUUUUUAUAGGAGGAUUCUAGGAGAUGGCAACAACAUCUAUUUUUGGCAU
RNAcentral lists this ribosomal RNA (396 nucleotides) under Triticum aestivum (bread wheat). RNAcentral's name for it is "partial small subunit ribosomal RNA". The record is from RNAcentral. Lineage: Eukaryota; Viridiplantae; Streptophyta; Magnoliopsida; Poales; Poaceae.